UUUGAGUUGGGCACUCUAAACGAGACUGCCGGUAGGUCAAACCGGAGGAAGUGGGAUGACGUCAAGUCCUCAUGGCCUUUAUGACCAGGGCUACACACGUACUACAAUGGCCGGUACAAAGGGCAGCGACACAGCGAUGUGAAGCGAAUCCCGAAAAGCCGGUCUCAGUCCGGAUUGGAGUCUGCAACUCGACUCCAUGAAGUUGGAAUCGCUAGUAAUCGCGGAUCAGCACGCCGCGGUGAAUACGUUCCCGGGCCUU
RNAcentral lists this ribosomal RNA (259 nucleotides) under uncultured Desulfocapsa sp. RNAcentral describes it as "partial 16S ribosomal RNA". It matches the Rfam family "Bacterial small subunit ribosomal RNA", at positions 1125 to 1382 of the family's 1533-position model. The record is from RNAcentral. Lineage: Bacteria; Pseudomonadati; Thermodesulfobacteriota; Desulfobulbia; Desulfobulbales; Desulfocapsaceae.